RNA transcript from Egretta garzetta (little egret), 5200 nucleotides. It is a transcript of the gene named NADH:ubiquinone oxidoreductase subunit V3, with no coding region annotated. The transcript has 4 exons. Lineage: Eukaryota; Metazoa; Chordata; Aves; Pelecaniformes; Ardeidae. The record is from RefSeq and is a predicted model, not a curated record.
ACGGGUUAUAUUUAUAUUCAUAGGCCACGCUACGAGCUUGACACUUUCUUCCCCGUUUACCUUCACCUUAAUACAUUAGCUGCUGUGAUGCUUGACCAUGCUUAAGUAGAGCUAUGGCUAUGUUUGUCUUAAUGUAAAGAAGCUUUGCAAGUUGCCUGAAAUCUGAUGGAAAUGAGCACAGCAAGUUACUUUUUUUAAUGAGGUGCAAAAUCUGGUUUUGAACUUAAGAUGUUCCCCCUUGUCCUUUGAAAUAUUUGGAUUACGAGGGGCAAAAAGCAUCCCAUUUUACAGAAAGAGAAAAGGACUUGCAGGAUCCCAAUAUCUGCUCCAGGCAACAGCGUCAAGAAGCUGCAGAAAACUACCAUGGCCCUAUUGUGUUAAAUUUAGUCAUAGUGCUUUUUGCCCCAUAGGUUUGCAGGCAAGGCAAUACAGGCGAAACCUCGGUUUGGAUGCUGCAGUGCAUUCAACAUUCAGAAGUAUUUGAACCCCUUCUGUCCCUGACCAAAGUCAAAACAUGAAUACAAAUUUCCAAGAUGCUGUUUGUAAAUAGAGGCUUGUUGUUUCAGCAAGUAGGAUUCCCAUCCCAAAUUGGAGAUCCAGGUGCUUAAACAGCAAAGCUCCACGGGACCAUGUGCAGGAGUGAUCAGACUUGUUGACAGCUGUUGAAAAGAUCACUGAAGAAGUAGUUGAAUGCGGGCUUCUGGCUUCUAAUGUUAGCUUCUUAAAUGCCAAGGCAAAUAAGAGCUUGGUUGUUCCAUUAAGAAAGCCUUUGCUGUGUAGAUUGAUACAAGCUUGACUGAACCAGGUUGGACGGGGCUCUGAGCAACCUGAUCUAGUUAACGGUGUCCCUGCUCACUGCAGGGGGGUUGGACUUGAUGACCUCUAAAGGUCCCUUCCAACCCAUAACAUUCUAGGAUUCUAUGAACAACAAAUUGCUUUUAUUAUAACUUUCUUUGUGUUAUUUGCGAGCGUAUUUGAUACGUACUUUAGCAUCAGUUUCUAGAUUCGUUGUCCUUCAGCUCUGAUUUCAGAAGGUGUCAGGAGACCUCUUUAGGCCACCCCUUUCAGCCAACUGCUUCCCCUGCAAAUGGUUAAGGUUAGUUAAGGUGCAUAGGAUGCAGCUGUCUUUCAGAUUCUAGCUGGAACAGGGUGUGCAGAUUUUCUUUGCUUUGAUAAAAUGGUUAUGUUUACUUAAGAAGUCAGUGAUGGGGAACAGACCUGUAACUUCUGCAUGCCACCUUUCUGAGUGCAGGCAUGUUUUAAACAUGUUUUGAUAGUGAUACUGAUGUUACAAGCAUCAGUAAGAACACAUCUGGGGAUAAUAUUCUUGUUACUGAUUUGGAUGUAGUGUUCUUUUGGCAAAGCGGUGCAAAUAGGUAUCGGGUGGUACAAAGUUUGAAGUACCCUAAUUAAAGUGUCUGGACCAGUUUUAUUAGAGUUUAUGAUUAUAACCUGAAAUGUGUAUCUUUUUCACAUAUCCAAAUACUGCUGUGUAGAGCAUUUUUCCAGCAACAGCUACUGUUAAUGGUCAAGUUGAAUGUCACCUGCCUUCUUGGCUUCUUAGGAUGUCUUAACGUUAACACUUCUUCAACUUUUACUCAGCUUUCACUUGUCUUGUCAUCCCUUUGGGCAUUCUUGUGUUAGUUUGACCGUCUUGUAUGCUUCUUUCAAGAACUCUUCGAUCCUAAGCAAUGUUUCCUCAUGUAUUAGUUUCUACAGGCUGCUGUUUGGCUGUGUCAGUCUAUGCAGAGAAUCAGGCUUCUUUCAAAGGUGGCUGCCCAUCCUCUUGCUUCCCCUUGCCCUGCCCCCCUGCCCUGCCCCUUCCAUCUGGCAGAGAGAAAUAGGUGUCUGAAAUUAUUCAAAAGUAUUACCUGUACGGUAAAAUGAUAUUUUUUUCAUUUGUACUCAUGUUAAGAACUCUGUAUUUCUUUCUUAAAUACUUUGCUUUUAAUUUCACGUGUCUAUCUCUUCUGUGAUGUUUUCAUUUGGACGUUGCUAAAGACUUGCUUCUAUUCAGAACUAAUUAUAGUAACUCCUUGGAUCAUACAAGGUAUUACUGUAAAAUACUAGUAAAGGGGAAAACUGCAUCUAAUUUAUGGUCUUGUAAAGUAGAUCUGGGUUUCCAAACUGUGCAGAUAAAUCUUCACAAUAGACUGGAAAUCUGUUGAAUUAUACUGCUGGUUUGAAGUGGUGCAACUCAUAAUGGAGUUGGCUUUGCUAUAGCAGGUUUCAGUGGUCAUGUAUCCUCUUAAUGUGCUCUCAGUCCUCUCUGUCCUUCUGUUUUCUGUAACCACAACAGCAUUCACUGUUGAUUGGCCCCUUGAGGAUAUAAUUGGCACAAGCAUCCAAAGAGUAUUGGGUACCCUCUGAAAGGGCCUGAAGUUGCUGCUUUCUUUUCAACUGCUAGCUCCUUGUCUGGAGAAUUUAGCUUAAUGGAAGUAUCCAUGAGGGAGAAGAAACAAAGGCAGGCUAACAUUGAACCAUUAGGAGAUCUUCUAAGACUUUUUUUACAAAGAGCUUUCAAACCAAAAGUAGGAAAUGGAGACAGUGAAGACUGGAGGAGAUAAGGUUUUGGGAAAAUAAUGCUAAACUGUGUUAGACAAUUCAGUUGGUAGGUCAUGUGGACACAUGAACAAGUAAUGCUGUCACGUAUGGCUUCAGGUACCUCUCAUUCCACUGCUUUGUCUCUUGGGAGUCAUCCCUCCCUACUGCUUUAAAGAUAACUAUUGCAAGAGGCUGGCUACUGCUAUGUCUGUUUACUAUGUCUUCUGCCUCGCUGGCUUGUUCAUAGACAAAUAUUAUCUCUGUAGCAGCAUAUUUGAAGAGCUCAGCUAACAAGCUGUCUUAAUCUUCAUCUGAGAUAGGAAGGUGUCUGUAAACCAUUUUCAGUGAUGCGGAAUGAAACACAGAGAAAAACAGCUCUUGCGAGGAGACUGGCAAAGCAAGGAGCAAAAGGCAUUCUCUCAUAAGUUUCAGCAUCGCAGCGGCAAAAACUAUGUAGUGGCACCACAGGGAAGCACCAAGCUGCUAGCCAUCAAGGCACCAGCUGAAUUUCCUAAAAUGUUGUCUUCUAGCUCUCUCCUAGUAUCUGCAAACAAAGGUGAGAGCUUAUCUAGUACCAACAUUGAAGAAGCUUCAAAACCUUCUGCUGAAGACGUGAGGAUGUUCAUGUCAAGAAAAACCGUGGUUGCAUUUCCUCAGAGAGAAGUUGUUUCUUCCCUUGAGGAGGAAAACCUCACUACACCUGCAACAAGAGGAAGCUUACGAAAAGAGUUAGCUGAGGAAGAGACUUCAUCUUCAUCCAGCUCAGAUUCAGACUCUAGCUCAGAUUCUGAGGAAGAAAAUGAUGGUGAUUCAGAAGUUGCCAUUAAAACCAAAGUUGUGUUUCCUAGACGAGAUUCCAUCUUUUCUGAGAACAUAGCAGUAAAGGCAUCAAUGCUAGCAAAGGAGAACUUGUCCCAGAAGUCCCACAAAGAAUAUGUAGCUAAGAAGAAGCCAUGCAAAACAGAAACUGAUGUGUCUCCUAUCAAGCAGGUUGCAUUUUCUAAAACAUCAGUCAGCCAUGAAACGUCAAAAUCCAAAGCAAGAGACCGCAAAGUGAAAUCAACUCCAAAAGAAGCAGAUCGGCAGAAGCUGGGUUUCAAACCACACGUGGUUGAAAGCCGAGACCUGACCGAUGCCACUCAUAAAUCUGAUUAUGUGGAGGAGAAGUCCAUUGGAACCCAAGUAGCAGCUAUUCAGCUGAAAGCUUCAUCAGUGGCUCAGGAAGAAAAACAGCAAAAACUGGUAUCCAGAGGAGAAGAAAGAAAGGUAAAGAAGGCACAGGAGUCAGAAGCAGAACUAACUGCUCCUAAACUGGAAGAAACUUCUGAAAGCACAGUGGUGGUGAUGGGCACUACAGCAAAGGAGGAGACCGUUCAGGAAACAGGAGUCCAAGCUGGAGAAAGCAGCACAAUAGAGGAAGAAUAUCCUGUGAAAUGCUUGCUCUUUAACAGGGAAGACAUGGAUGAAGCCUGAAGUAUGAGGAGGAUGAGCUCAGAGAUAAAUUUUUCCUUUGAGAAGCCAAGUACAGUGUAUUUGGGCAGGAAAAAUGACACUCCAUCUGCCUUUCUUCAUGAGCAUCUGUCUCUUAAUUUGGAACAACUGUCUCCUGCAGGUUGAAUGUACACUUGCCUACGCUUGCCUGUUCUUGGGGCUAUUUGCAGCAAAGACCGCAUCAUCUGGCUUUUAUAUCUGUGGUGUUGUCUCCUAUGAGCUGUCUCAGUAGGAACCGAGCAGUAGGCACAGGGGUGUUUCCUUUUGUAGGUUGUGUGUGGUGUUUUGCUGAAACCACGGCAUACUACACUGUGUUUUAUAAGCGAGUCUUGCUAAAUGUUAGGGAUACGUGCUCUUAAACUGAUAGCAUUGCAUUGCAAUAAUUAUGGUAUAAUCAAAGGGAAAUUCCCGUGGUUAGUUUCUUGAGUUCUCGUAUUUUUGUCGUAGACGGUCAUAUUACAAAAAGAAGCUUAAUACGAUCUAAACUAAACCACUCUAUACAAAUUUAUGUGAUGAAGCUUUUUGGUAGAUUAUACUUCUGUCCUUCCUGUUGUUAAAACUCUGGGUUUAAGAGAAUAAAUUAAUAUUGGGAGUAAAGCUUUACUUCUUGCAAUUUCCUUGGUUGUAAAAUCAGCUUGUAACAGGAACCUUUUAUGGAAAUGGUACUGCCUAAAUUUGCAUAAUAUUCUAGAAGUGUAAGAAUUAAUGUUGACAUUAAUGUGAAGUAAAGAGUUCCAAAAAACUUUAUUAGGUUAUUCUUUUAAGAAGAAGAGCUGAUACAAAGUUUAGAAGAUUAUAUGUAGAAGAAAGGAAAUUUACAUCAAAGGCUCUUGAUAUAUUACUGUGCAGUAUAACCACAUCUGAAAUUACGCUGUGGAGAUCUCCAUAAUUCCAUCACUUCUCUCCAUGGAAAAAAUUCAGUCUGUAAAGUCGCUAAUAGCUGCGUCUCACGGUCUGACAUGAUGAUACAUCAUUUGUACUGCUGGUUUGCCUGUCCCGGCUUGCUAAGAAUAUCACCUACUGUUCUGGCUGGAGUGAAAACCAAGGCAACUAUGAAAAAGCCAGGAAAUGCAGACAGACCACAGCAGCUGCUGAGCCUGCUCCAGAAGAAUUCGAUAAUUCUACCUACAAGAACCUUCAGCAUCAUGAAUACAACAUCUAUACC